GACAGAGGGUGCAAACGUUGCUCGGAAUCACUGGGCGUAAAGGGCGUGUAGGCGGGAAUGUAAGUCGGGCGUGAAAGCCCCAGGCUCAACCUGGGAACUGCACUCGAAACUGCGUUUCUUGAGUAUCGGAGAGGAAAGCGGAAUACCUGGUGUAGAGGUGAAAUUCGUAGAUAUCAGGUGGAACACCAGUGGCGAAGGCGGCUUUCUGGACGAUUACUGACGCUGAGGCGCGAAAGCCAGGGGAGCAAACGGG
Molecule: ribosomal RNA, 253 nt
Filed under: uncultured bacterium
Lineage: Bacteria
Description: partial 16S ribosomal RNA
Rfam family: Bacterial small subunit ribosomal RNA
Source: RNAcentral